AGUGAACGCUGGCGGUAGGCCUAACACAUGCAAGUCGAACGGCAGCACAGUAAGAUCUUGCUCUUACGGGUGGCGAGUGGCGGACGGGUGAGGAAUACAUCGGAAUCUACUUUUUCGUGGGGGAUAACGUAGGGAAACUUACGCUAAUACCGCAUACGACCUACGGGUGAAAGCAGGGGAUCUUCGGACCUUGCGCGAUUGAAUGAGCCGAUGUCGGAUUAGCUAGUUGGCGGGGUAAAGGCCCACCAAGGCGACGAUCCGUAGCUGGUCUGAGAGGAUGAUCAGCCACACUGGAACUGAGACACGGUCCAGACUCGUACGGGAGGCAGCAGUGGGGAAUAAUGGACAAUGGGCGCAAGCCUGAUCCAGCCAUACCGCGUGGGUGAAGAAGGCCUUCGGGUUGUAAAGCCCUUUUGUUGGGAAAGAAAAGCAGCAGGUUAAUACCCCGCUGUUCUGACGGUACCAAAAGAAUAAGCACCGGCUAACUUCGUG
Molecule: ribosomal RNA, 492 nt
Filed under: uncultured bacterium
Lineage: Bacteria
Description: partial 16S ribosomal RNA
Rfam family: Bacterial small subunit ribosomal RNA
Source: RNAcentral